Molecule: long non-coding RNA, 689 nt
Organism: Leopardus geoffroyi (Geoffroy's cat)
Lineage: Eukaryota; Metazoa; Chordata; Mammalia; Carnivora; Felidae
Exons: 3
Source: RefSeq, a predicted model, not a curated record
GCCCAGACCGGAUGACGGAGCGUUCCGGGAGCCUCUGGCUCGGGCCUCCCCAGCCUGGCGCGCGCGGUAAAGGCUCUUCCAGCAAAGGCAGGAAGAAGUAGUUUUCCCAGGCUGUGGAACGGUGUAGGAGACCGUGUUCCAUAAGAACUCCACGCUCUCCCCGGCAUACGCCCCGGGGUCCCAGCUUAGCUGCAAAGUAAAAGAUGUGCACCAGGAGCAGAGUAGGAACCAGGCACAAGAAGCGUCAGUUUGGGAGAGGAAGGACUGACUGAACACCGACUUGGCCUCUGCAUCGUGUUUUCAGACCACCACGAGCGUGCGCCUCGAUUUCCUUUCUCUAGUGACUGCCACCAGCUGCCGGUUCUGUGACACUCGCAUGCCCGGAGCGGUCAGCUUCAACACACCCACCGGGUCAUCGGGCUGCUGCAUGAAAACACGAGUGAAAAGGGACACUGGAGGGCAGGAGACGCCGCAUUGCAGUUGACACACACCGUCCCAUCCCUGGGACGGACGUGCCGUCUCUACUUAAGGCUUCUUAACAUCACACUAUCCACUAUGGGCGGGAGUUCUGUUUUGUGAACGCAGAGUUUCAACGUCUGUUCCAGUCAGGUGACCUAAACGUUGUUUUAAAUUAAGACGAAAGUCUGGUUUAAGAAAUUCUCCAAAAGAAUAAAAGUUCCCAACGUGAA